RNAcentral lists this ribosomal RNA (498 nucleotides) under uncultured bacterium. RNAcentral describes it as "bacterial SSU rRNA". It matches the Rfam family "Bacterial small subunit ribosomal RNA", at positions 9 to 507 of the family's 1533-position model. The record is from RNAcentral.
GAGUUUGAUCAUGGCUCAGGAUGAACGCUAGCGGGAGGCCUAACACAUGCAAGCCGAGCGGUAUUGUUUCUUCGGAAAUGAGAGAGCGGCGUACGGGUGCGGAACACGUGUGCAACCUGCCUUUAUCUGGGGGAUAGCCUUUCGAAAGGAAGAUUAAUACUCCAUAAUAUAUUGAACGGCAUCGUUUAAUAUUGAAAGCUCCGGCGGAUAGAGAUGGGCACGCGCAAGAUUAGCUAGUUGGUGAGGUAACGGCUCACCAAGGCAAUGAUCUUUAGGGGGCCUGAGAGGGUGAUCCCCCACACUGGUACUGAGACACGGACCAGACUCCUACGGGAGGCAGCAGUGAGGAAUAUUGGUCAAUGGGUGCAAGCCUGAACCAGCCAUCCCGCGUGAAGGACGACUGCCCUAUGGGUUGUAAACUUCUUUUGUAUAGGGAUAAACCUUUCCACGUGUGGAAAGCUGAAGGUACUAUACGAAUAAGCACCGGCUAACUCCGUG